This is a non-coding RNA of Paramuricea clavata, 1443 nucleotides long. Lineage: Eukaryota; Metazoa; Cnidaria; Anthozoa; Malacalcyonacea; Plexauridae. The record is from the annotation of a GenBank genome assembly.
GACGAAGCACAUCUAGUUGAAGAAUGGUAAGAAUUUUAUUUUAAUAUACGAUACUACUGAGUUUUAAAUUAUAAUAUGGUUGAGGUGCAAAACAUGUAACAUUCAGACUGAGCCUGAACUAUUAUGAUUAUUUAGCAAGUUUCAAAUUUCACUUUUCCUAUAGUUUUAUUGGUCGAGAUUACGGUAAGUCAAGUGAGAGUCAAGAAAUUAAGCUGUCUCCCUCGGAGUUCCCUGCGAGCAGAGGUCCCUAGAGCACCGGAGCCAGCAGGGAACCCUUGGAGAGACUCCACAGAUGCUCGGCAGGGAGAUAACACAUUAUCCAGGGCAAUCUUGUUCCCCAAGCCUGCGAUCCACGGGAAGGAAUGCGAGGCUCUGGGAUAAUCUGUUUCAGGGAGGAAUCUGAUUGGCUGUUGAUAUAGAAUGCGCAGUUCAGUCUUAGCCAGGAUUCCUGCCUUCCGGCAAUGGAUUUUCCCAGAGCCGCACAUUCCUUCGUGAAGAUUGCAGGCUCGGGAAACGAGAUUGUGUCUAGGGGUAAAUAACAAAUAAUCACACAUGUGCAUGUCAUUAUGUUAUUUACAUUGUUUUCUGGUUGAGAACUGUGAGUUGGUAUGAUAUUGACUGGUCUCCUCAUGAGACUUCCUGUUAUGUGCACCCUCAACCACCAUUGGAAAACAUUGGUGGUUGAGGGUCCACAAAACAGGAUGUCUCCUGAGGAAACCAAUUGACUAAUAAGUAAUAAUUAUACCAUCAAUAUAUUUAUCAACCAAUUAUUAUUACUCUGUUUAAUGAUCUCUAAUGCCAUGAUGAUCAUAAUUAUUUGAGUAAAAUAUUUUGUGUUAAUCCUUUAAGUGGUCUAAUAAUGUAAGACAGUUUUACUCAUCAAGUAAUGAGUGCUGGCUUACUCAAUGGGUAAAAGAGUAGGAAGCAUGAUGAUGGUGCAUUGCAGCUGGACUUGUUAAUCAUUAACAUAACUUAUAUUUUUCUUGUUUAGGAAAAGUUUUAGACCUUGUCAUGGGAAAAUUGGUAUGCUGACAAGUAUUUUUCCCAAGAUCACAUUUUUGGCAAUGACAGCACUGCCACAUUGCAGAUGAAAAAGGAUAUUACAACCAGUCUCGGAUUGAUCAAUCCAAAACAUAUUGAAAUAAGCCCUGAUCGUCCCAAUAUCUUCUUCAGCUCUUUGCCAGGACCUAAUAGAGGGGAUGAUAAGCUUCAAGUGGACCCUUCAACCUAUAUUAACUCCUCCUGAUUGCAGAAUUAAAAGUGAAACAGUUCAAUUUCCCUCUGACAUUAGUUUAUGGCAACUUGCAAGUUAUUGGAGAAUGUUUUUUGUUUGCAAGCAAUAUGAUGGGGCCUUUGCAAUAUGAACCAGUACAAUCUAGCAAACAUUCAGUUAACAGACUAUUCACACAGUUUCAUGCGCAAUAUUCAGAACAUGAACAAGAA